RNAcentral lists this unclassified non-coding RNA (357 nucleotides) under soil metagenome. Its description in RNAcentral is "partial contains 5.8S ribosomal RNA, internal transcribed spacer 2, and large subunit ribosomal RNA". The stretch from base 1 to 120 matches the Rfam family "5.8S ribosomal RNA", at positions 35 to 154 of the family's 154-position model. The record is from RNAcentral.
GAUGAAGAACGUAGCGAAAUGCGAUAAGUAAUGUGAAUUGCAGAAUUCAGUGAAUCAUCGAAUCUUUGAACGCACAUUGCGCCCGCUGGUAUUCCGGCGGGCAUGCCUGUUCGAGCGUCAUUUCAACCCUCAAGCUCUCCGGAGUUUGGUGUUGGGGCGCCUGGGGCUUUUCGACCUCAGGGCCCUCAAGUCCAUCGGCGGGACCGCCAGGACACUGAGCGCCGUAGUAUUAUUUCGCUCGGUAGGAUCUUCCACGGCGGGUCGAUCUGGCCGCUAAACCCCCCAAUUCUCACCAAAGGUUGACCUCGGAGCAGGUAGGAAUACCCGCUGAACUUAAGCAUAUCAAUAAGCGGAGGA